AAACCAAGAAAGAGAUAGAAGUUGUAUUAUCCGAGAAUCGUAAUGAUGCUUAUUACAAUGUAAGGUCUCCUUUAUAUGGUAGGAGACCUCCCUCGAAAUAAUCAAAAAGUACAGAAGUUGAUGGCUUCCACUCAAUAAAAAGGUUAGGCACUAAACGACAUCGCUUCUUCUUUACCAACUUGGGCCGUGCCCAUAUUUGAGUCGCUCUUAUCGAAAGGGACGUACCCACUCGGCGUGGGGGCGUUACGAGCCAAAUUUUACCCUGUACAAUAUACAAUUUUACCAAGUACAAAAUUUUAUCUACGUUUGAUGAAAAUCAACUCCAGCAUUGAGAAUUUGAGAUAUGUUUUUCGAUACUUAAUUAGUGUAUGCCUACUU
RNAcentral lists this long non-coding RNA (378 nucleotides) under Nicotiana benthamiana. RNAcentral's name for it is "long non-coding RNA (NBEN_LNC035090)". The record is from RNAcentral. Lineage: Eukaryota; Viridiplantae; Streptophyta; Magnoliopsida; Solanales; Solanaceae.